This 360-nucleotide unclassified non-coding RNA is filed under the name soil metagenome. RNAcentral's name for it is "partial contains 5.8S ribosomal RNA, internal transcribed spacer 2, and large subunit ribosomal RNA". The stretch from base 1 to 120 matches the Rfam family "5.8S ribosomal RNA", at positions 35 to 154 of the family's 154-position model. The record is from RNAcentral.
GAUGAAGAACGCAGCGAAAUGCGAUAAGUAAUGCGAAUUGCAGAAUUCAGUGAAUCAUCGAAUCUUUGAACGCACAUUGCGCCCGCCAGAAUACUGGCGGGCAUGCCUGUCUGAGCGUCGUUUCGACCCUCGCGCCCGGCUUCUGUCGGGGGCGGUGUUGGGGAUCGGCCACACCCUUCAGUGGGAGGCCGGCCCCUAAAUUCAGUGGCGACCACGCUGUAGCCUCCCCUGCGUAGUACUAAAACCACCUCGCAGGCGGAGAGCGGUGCGGCCCGCCGUAAAACCCCCCAACUUUUACAAGGUCGACCUCAGAUCAGGUAGGAAUACCCGCUGAACUUAAGCAUAUCAAUAAGCGGAGGA